UACACACAGAAUAGAGGGAUACAAGCUUCAGCUGCGCAAAACAAUACACACGACCUCCCCACCCCCCCUUCUGGUCGAUCUUCUUCUCCAAGUCGCCUUCCAUGGCUUUUUACUGAACAAAACAACAGACCUCCCCCAUUCAAUAGCUCAUCUCUUUGUUACUCUUUGAAAAUCCGUCGCUGACACCCCACACGACAGACCCCCUGAAACUAGCGACCCAAAACACGAGAAGCCAACGAGUUGGACUUUCUUCGCCUCAACCGCUAGUCAUCUCUCCAAGAACACCAUAGUAGCAGUCGUCUUUCUCCACCACCUAGCUCGCCGGAGAACAAACAAAGAGAAUGAUAACAAGAGGGAGAGGACGAGGGUUUAAUCCUAAUUUCUAAUCCUGCCCUUUCUGAUUUUUACGUUCUCGUUCAUGAAAACAUAAAACAAAGAAAAAAUUCUGCUUUCUUAAAUCUGAAAAUGCAUCUUAGUUUGUGAUUUUUGAUCUACUCUCAUUGAAUUGGUUUGCAUUUGAGGUGGUUUUCUGAUGGAAUACUGUCGAUUCUGAGUGAGUUUGCCGAUUGGAGAUUGUCGUUGCGAAAUCGAGUUUCGAUGUUGGUUCGCGGUACCGAUCUGAUUUUGGAGUUUUUGCUUGUCAAUACAUUGAAGAAAGUUCAUUUAAAGGCUCGUUUUACUUGUUUCAUUAAGUUUUUAGAUUUGGGAUCUGCUCCUACUCUAGAUGACUAAUUUGACGCUUGGAUGGUUUCUAUUUCGAAUCUUCUUUAUUGUGUUCUCUUAACUGAAUCAUGAGGCUAAUUUGAGUAAGAUGAGCUAAAAAUCAGUAGGAAUUCCUGGGAUGAUAGUGAUCAAGUUGUUGCAAAUCUGCUAACCAUGAAAUCCAAAUCUCUGAUUCACUGAAAUGCUUGAGCUUCUGCAGUUUUGUCACAAAUUCUCGAUUGCUGUCAAUAUCCGUCCAAUUUUCUUUCGUGAUUUUGUUUUGUUUCAUUUUUCAGUCAUUCUUUGGUUUGUUACGAGUAGAGUUUGAAGGCGAAGCUUAUUGUCUGUUCAUUAAUAUAGAGUUG
RNAcentral lists this long non-coding RNA (1067 nucleotides) under Nicotiana benthamiana. Its description in RNAcentral is "long non-coding RNA (NBEN_LNC023451)". The record is from RNAcentral. Lineage: Eukaryota; Viridiplantae; Streptophyta; Magnoliopsida; Solanales; Solanaceae.